Molecule: ribosomal RNA, 430 nt
Filed under: Bacteroidota bacterium
Lineage: Bacteria; Pseudomonadati; Bacteroidota
Description: Bacteroidetes bacterium partial 16S ribosomal RNA
Rfam family: Bacterial small subunit ribosomal RNA
Source: RNAcentral
UAGGGAAUCUUCGGCAAUGGGGGGAACCCUGACCGAGCAACGCCGCGUGAGUGAAGAAGGUUUUCGGAUCGUAAAGCUCUGUUGUUAAGGAAGAACGAGUGUGAGAAUGGAAAGUUCAUACUGUGACGGUACUUAACCAGAAAGGGACGGCUAACUACGUGCCAGCAGCCGCGGUAAUACGUAGGUGGCAAGCGUUGUCCGGAUUUAUUGGGCGUAAAGCGAGCGCAGGCGGUCAAUUAAGUCUGAUGUGAAAGCCCCCGGCUCAACCGGGGAGGGUCAUUGGAAACUGGUUGACUUGAGUGCAGAAGAGGAGAGUGGAAUUCCAUGUGUAGCGGUGAAAUGCGUAGAUAUAUGGAGGAACACCAGUGGCGAAGGCGACUCUCUGGUCUGUAACUGACGCUGAGGCUCGAAAGCGUGGGUAGCGAACAGG